AACAACUAACUUAACUAGUCAUGUUCUAAAAUAAGUAAAUGAAUUCAUUGAGCCGUUAUCAUAAAUGGCAUGUGCAAAUAGGAGAAAACGGGCAUAUCAUCAUGAAUCGAUGGCCCUAUGCUUAUUGAUCGGCUUGGCUCCACUCCAAGUGUCUGCAGAAGUUAUCAACCAUGCCACAGGUUCUUCCAAAAGAUUCUGCAUAAGGUGCUUGUCACACCAGUCUCAUCACCAAUAUGCAAAUGGCCAACAUUCUGCAGACUCAAACAUUGCACAAUGAACCACACCAACUUCAACAUCCGCAGAGCAUUCUCCACGUCAAACUACAACGACUUUGACGCUUCAGGUCACAUGUCGUCACAAAAACGAGCCACACAUCCGAGAUCCUACAGAAAUGAAUAAAUAUGAUUGACAAGUAACCAAUGCAAUUGGAAAAUAUGGUCAACUAAUAUUCAGAGCAAAAUAGAUGUUAAUCAUGUUUUUAUAUGUUCACACCCCCAAGCAGCAAGGAUCAAUGCAACAAUUCAAGUUAAAACGUUAAAUCCUCAUAUCAGUAAAAACUAGAAUAGCCUUGACUAAAGGUUAAAUUUUACGUAAAGGUAAAAAUUAGACUCCUACCACAAUGAAUACUUGUUUUUACAGCAGUAGAAAGUCUGUGAAGAGGUUUUAAUAAAUAGCCACGCACCUUUUGGGGAAGACACCAUAAAAACAAUCCCGUCUUACCACUUCCUGUUGGGACCACACUAAAUCUGUGAAAGAUUUGUUCAUAGCGAUUUGAUGCUGGGAUCUAUUUGCCAGCUCACGAAAGAUAAGGACGUAUAAACCUCAUACGGGAACUCUAUAAAAGGGACCUCAAGU
RNAcentral lists this long non-coding RNA (855 nucleotides) under Lathyrus oleraceus (garden pea). RNAcentral's name for it is "Pisum sativum (pea) long non-coding RNA (PSAT_LNC021564)". The record is from RNAcentral. Lineage: Eukaryota; Viridiplantae; Streptophyta; Magnoliopsida; Fabales; Fabaceae.